GUGCCAGCAGCCGCGGUAAUACGUAGGGACCGAGCGUUGUCCGGAAUCAUUGGGCGUAAAGAGCGUGUAGGCGGCUAUUUAAGUCCUGCGUGAAAUCCUGCGGCUCAACCGCAGACGGUCGUGGGAAACUGGAUGGCUAGAGUGCGGGAGAGGAGAGUGGAAUUCCCGGUGUAGCGGUGAAAUGCGCAGAUAUCGGGAAGAACACCCGUGGCGAAGGCGGCUCUCUGGAACGCAACUGACGCUGAGACGCGAAAGCGUGGGGAGCAAACAGGAUUAGAUACCCUGGUAGUCC
RNAcentral lists this ribosomal RNA (292 nucleotides) under uncultured bacterium. Its description in RNAcentral is "partial 16S ribosomal RNA". It matches the Rfam family "Bacterial small subunit ribosomal RNA", at positions 505 to 796 of the family's 1533-position model. The record is from RNAcentral.